AUUGAACGCUAGCGGCAUGCUUUACACAUGCAAGUCGAACGAGUGGCGGACGGGUGAGUAAUGUCUGGGAACGUGCCUAGUAGAGGGGGAUAACUACUCGAAAGCGUGGCUAAUACCGCAUACUCUUGGAUCUGCCCAUAUGGGAUUAGCUUGUUGGUGGGGGAAGGGCUCACCAAGGCACCGAUCCCUAGCUGGUCUGAGAGGAUGACCAGCAACACGGGAACGGAGCCACGGCCCAGACUCCUACGGGAGGCAGCAGGGGGGAAUAUUGCACAAGGGGGGAAACCCUGAUACAGCCACGCCGCGUGUAUGAAGAAGGCCUGCGGGUUGUAAAGUACUUUCAGCGGAGAGGCGUUACCUGAAGAAGAAGCACCGGCUAACUCCGUGCCAGCAGCCGCGGUAAUAC
Molecule: ribosomal RNA, 406 nt
Filed under: uncultured bacterium
Lineage: Bacteria
Description: partial 16S ribosomal RNA
Rfam family: Bacterial small subunit ribosomal RNA
Source: RNAcentral